GACGAACGCUGGCGGCGUGCUUAACACAUGCAAGUCGAACGGAAAGGCCCUGCUUGCAGGGUGCUCGAGUGGCGAACGGGUGAGUAACACGUGGGUGAUCUGCCCCUUAUUUUGGGAUAAGCCUGGGAAACUGGGUCUAAUACUGGAUAGGACCAUGCUGUAGGUGGUGUGGUGGAAAGAUUAGUUUCGGUAAGGGAUGAGCUCGCGGCCUAUCAGCUUGUUGGUGGGGUAAUGGCCUACCAAGGCGUCGACGGGUAGCCGGCCUGAGAGGGUGGACGGCCACAUUGGGACUGAGAUACGGCCCAGACUCCUACGGGAGGCAGCAGUGGGGAAUAUUGCACAAUGGGCGCAAGCCGGAUGCAGCGACGCCGCGUGGGGGAUGACGGCCUUCGGGUUGUAAACUCCUUUCAGCCAUGACGAAGCCCUUGUGGUGACGGUAGUGGUAGAAGAAGCACCGGCUAACUACGUG
This 469-nucleotide ribosomal RNA is filed under the name uncultured bacterium. RNAcentral's name for it is "partial 16S ribosomal RNA". It matches the Rfam family "Bacterial small subunit ribosomal RNA", at positions 28 to 507 of the family's 1533-position model. The record is from RNAcentral.